UAACUGGCUUGCAACAGCAGGUGGAAAAUAUAUAUCUGAUAUGGUACGAAACAUUUUGAAUGUUUUCAUGACUGAUGAGUUACAAAUGAAUUGUUGUCGUACUGGGAAACCCUCAAACAAAUAAAUUUUGUAAAUUUAUUGCAAUUGCUGUUCGAAGGCAUUGCAAAAAUGCUACAGACAAAGAUGUCAAUGAAGCCAUCACCGCUGCACUGCAUAACUCAGCAGAUCGUGGUGGUAGACGUAUGCAUCGAGAGAAGAAUGAAUAAAUAAAUUU
Molecule: non-coding RNA, 274 nt
Organism: Hydra vulgaris (swiftwater hydra)
Lineage: Eukaryota; Metazoa; Cnidaria; Hydrozoa; Anthoathecata; Hydridae
Source: RefSeq, a predicted model, not a curated record